AGGGUUUGAUCAUGGCUCAGAACGUACGCUGGCGGCACGCCUAACACAUGCAAGUCGAACGAAGUAGCAAUACUUAGUGGCAGACGGGUGAGUAACAUGUAGGUAUCUGCCCUUUGGCCUGGAAUAACACGAGGAAACUUGUGCUAAUACCGGAUAAGUCUUUACGGAGAAAGCUUUAUGCACCAUUGGAUGAGCCUGCACUUGAUUAGUUUGUUGGUGGGGUAAUGGCCUACCAAGACUGUGAUCAAUAGCUGAUUUGAGAGGAUGAUCAGCCACAUUGGGACUGAGACACGGCCCAAACUCCUACGGGAGGCAGCAGUGGGGAAUCUUGCACAAUGGAGGAAACUCUGAUGCAGCGAUGCCGCGUGAGUGAAGAAGGCCCUUGGGUUGUAAAGCUCUUUCGUCGGGGAAGAAAAUGACUGUACCCGAAUAAGAAGGUCCGGCUAACUUCGUGCCAGCCGCCGCGGUAAUAC
RNAcentral lists this ribosomal RNA (473 nucleotides) under uncultured bacterium. Its description in RNAcentral is "bacterial SSU rRNA". It matches the Rfam family "Bacterial small subunit ribosomal RNA", at positions 8 to 526 of the family's 1533-position model. The record is from RNAcentral.